CUUCAGAGUCCUCAGUGACAUCAUUUGCAGACAUAAGCUACCACUUCUAGCUUUAGGCACUUACUUUGUUCAAAGCUUUCUCAGUAUUGAAGUCAUUUUUUUCUUCUUUAUGGCACUAAUCUCAUCACAGGAUCAUUGAUCUAAGGCUGAUAAGGGUUUAACAGACCAUCUAGUUCCAUCCCCUUUUUUUUACCAAGGCUGACUUUGACCAAGGCUACAACAAUAACAGCCAUCAGAGGAUAUAAGGCAGCCUAUGAUGUUGUUCAGACCUGUCCAAUUCUUCAGGAUCCUAUUUUAGGGUUUUCUUGACAAAGAUAUUAGUCAUUUCCCAUUUCCUUAUCGAGAUCAAUCUAUAAAUGAAGAAACUGAGGCAAAUAGAGUCAAAUCGCUUGCCCAGAGUUCCACAGCUAUCUCAGGCCCUCAAUCCCAGGACAAUGUCUCCACCACUAGAAGAAUGACCUAUGAUGCAGAAGGAGUCAAAAUGAGGAGAGAUGGAGAAUGGAAUCAGAGAAUCUUCAAGUUACAAAAGCACGCAGCAGUAAGACAAAUGUUUAGGCUGGAGAGACAAUAUCAUCAAAUAGAGCUUUCAAUGAUCCAUGAUCACAGGAGCCAACAAGAAAUUAUUAUAAGUCCUGAAGGACUCAAGGAACAGGAUGGAUUAACCUAUCCUAUCAAUUGUUCAUGCUCUGUGAAUAUAUCAAGUUUUUUGGAAAAGAGGGAGCUUGUGUUAGCAAAGUCCUGACAAGAAGACAAGUACAUUACUAAUGGAGAAAUAAGUAAAAGACUUGCCAUGGAAUCUCUGGGUAACUUAGCAAAGUACAGUGUUAACUCAGGGAAGGAACCUUUUGUCAGUUCCGCCUCCUAUGCUUUCAGUCAUUCCCAUUUGGGAUGCCACCUUUGCCCUCCAACAUCCUGGUCCUUUUACCUGUUCAUCCCUUCUUCUUUGAGCUAUAUAAUUUGGCUGCUAUCAUUGUAGGGCAUGUUUUUUCCCCAGAAAGACUCAGGGACCAAUCGAAGGACUGGAAACUGGUGACAUUAACAUAUCCUGUGCAUAGACAUAUAGUUCAGAGUUGAAAGUAGACAUGGGACCUUUCGUGAAUCUCUGGCAGAGUUCCAGAGAUGGAUACCUUGCAAAGGGCUGACAGGAGGAGCUCUAAGAUGAGGAAGGUAGUUACUUGUAGGACUCUUCAUCUAUUUUAAUAUAUUAACCAUAAACACCUGCUAUUACAACCAUCAAGAUCACAGUGCCUUAUACUUAAUGGAUGCUCAAUAAGGGUAUGUUGACUGAUCUUCCAAAAACAGAGAUUUAACCAUGUCAUCUUCCCCCUCACUCAAAACUUUUCAGGGAACUCCAUUGCCACUAGGAUAAAAUGCAAAAUCCUCAGUCUGGUGUUCAAAACCUUCUGUAAUGUGGCUCCCACCCACCUACAUCCUUUCUGGUAUUAUUCAUAUUAUUCCUCCUCAUGCACUCUCUUUUCCAUUUUAAGGACUCUACUGGCUUUUCCCCAUUAAUGUCACAUAUUUCUUGCCUCUGGUCCUCUGUGAAGUCAGUGCUUAAAUCUAGAACUCCUUCUCUCCUCAUUUUCACCUCAAGAAUACCUAGCUUCCUUCAAAGCCCAGUUCAGGCAAAAUCUCCUACAGGAGCCCUUUCCUAAUCUCACAGCUAGUGAUUAGGUCUCUGCCUCUAUUGAAAUUACUUUUUUGGUCCUUUAUGUAUAUUUUGUAAUUGCUUAUUUUGGGGCAUGUCUUAUACUCCCUCACCUAAGCAGAAUGUAAGUUCCUUUGUUGUUGCUUUUAUUUUACCCCCCUAGCACCAACUACAGAGCUUUGCACAUAGUUGGUGCUUAAUAAAUGCUUUUCAAAUUGAUUUAAACA
This 1875-nucleotide long non-coding RNA is filed under the name Monodelphis domestica (gray short-tailed opossum). RNAcentral describes it as "lncRNA (ENSMODG00000050702.1)". Lineage: Eukaryota; Metazoa; Chordata; Mammalia; Didelphimorphia; Didelphidae. The record is from RNAcentral.